GGAAAGUCCGAAGGUGUUAAAAUGAGUAAAAGUGAGUUGUGGAAGGUUUUCGAGAGCUAAAGAAUCAAAUUCUGCAAAACUACAGAUUUUCAGCUCUCGGGGACCGGUCCNGUAAAGAAAAGAAUGUAAAAUGUAUUUUGAGGUAAAUGGGAUGUAAGAAAGUAAUGAUGAAAUGAAAUGUAAAGAAUUCGAAAAUGAACAAGAUGAAUACAAUGUAUAUGAUCAAAAAUGAAUCAUAGUACAAGUGAAUGUUUAGU
This 257-nucleotide long non-coding RNA is filed under the name Ananas comosus (pineapple). RNAcentral's name for it is "long non-coding RNA (ACOM_LNC011960)". Lineage: Eukaryota; Viridiplantae; Streptophyta; Magnoliopsida; Poales; Bromeliaceae. The record is from RNAcentral.